RNAcentral lists this ribosomal RNA (397 nucleotides) under uncultured bacterium. RNAcentral's name for it is "bacterial SSU rRNA". It matches the Rfam family "Bacterial small subunit ribosomal RNA", at positions 28 to 457 of the family's 1533-position model. The record is from RNAcentral.
GAUGAACGCUAGUAGUAUGCUUAACACAUGCAAGUCGAACGGAAAUUAUUUUUCGUGGCGAACGGGUGAGUAGAUGUAGAAUUUUUCCUUUCAGUUCAGGACAAAUAUUUCCUUCGGGUAAUAAAAUACUGAAUAAAUUUAAAAGGUUUAAUCCGCUGAAAGAUAAAUCUGCUUAAGAUUAGGUUGUUGGUAAUUUAAAAGCUUACCAAGCCAAUGAUCUUUAGUUGGUCUGAGAGGACGAUCAACCACACUAGAACUGAAAUAAGGUCUAGGCUAAUACGUUGGCCAGCAGUGAGGAAUAUUGGACAAUGAACGAAAGUUUGAUCCAGCAAUACUAACUGGGUGAUGACGGCUUAUUUAAGUUGUAAGAUCCUUUAAUUAAAGAAGAUAAUGACAU